This 72-nucleotide transfer RNA is filed under the name Lachnospiraceae bacterium. RNAcentral's name for it is "tRNA-Glu". It matches the Rfam family "tRNA". From Rfam's summary of the family: Transfer RNA (tRNA) molecules are approximately 80 nucleotides in length. The record is from RNAcentral. Lineage: Bacteria; Bacillati; Bacillota; Clostridia; Lachnospirales; Lachnospiraceae.
GGCUGAUUGGUCAAGCGGUUAAGACGCCGCCCUCUCACGGAGGAAUCAGGGGUUCGAUUCCCCUAUCAGCUG